GAUGAACGCUGGCGGCGUGCCUAAUACAUGCAAGUCGAGCGAACAGACGAGGAGCUUGCUCCUCUGACGUUAGCGGCGGACGGGUGAGUAACACGUGGAUAACCUACCUAUAAGACUGGGAUAACUUCGGGAAACCGGAGCUAAUACCGGAUAAUAUAUUGAACCGCAUGGUUCAAUAGUGAAAGACGGUUUUGCUGUCACUUAUAGAUGGAUACGCGCCGCAUUAGCUAGUUGGUAAGGUAAAGGCUUACCAAGGCAACGAUGCGUAGCCGACGUGAGAGGGUGAUCGGCCACACUGGAACUGAGACACGGUCCAGACUCCUACGGGAGGCAGCAGUAGGGAAUCUUCCGCAAUGGGCGAAAGCUUGACGGAACAACGCCGCGUGAGUGAUGAAGGUCUUCGGAGCGUAAAACUCUGUUAUUAGGUAAGAACAAAUGUGUAAGUAACUAUGCACUUCUUGACGGUACCUAAUCAGAAAGCCACGGCUAACUACGUG
Molecule: ribosomal RNA, 497 nt
Filed under: uncultured bacterium
Lineage: Bacteria
Description: partial 16S ribosomal RNA
Rfam family: Bacterial small subunit ribosomal RNA
Source: RNAcentral